This 497-nucleotide ribosomal RNA is filed under the name uncultured bacterium. Its description in RNAcentral is "partial 16S ribosomal RNA". It matches the Rfam family "Bacterial small subunit ribosomal RNA", at positions 28 to 507 of the family's 1533-position model. The record is from RNAcentral.
GAUGAACGCUGGCGGCGUGCCUAGUACAUGCAAGUCGAGCGAACGGACGAGAAGCUUGCUUCUCUGAUGUUAGCGGCGGACGGGUGAGUAACACGUGGAUAACCUACCUAUAAGACUGGGAUAACUUCGGGAAACCGGAGCUAAUACCGGAUAAUAUUUUGAACCGCAUGGUUCAAAAGUGAAAGACGGUCUUGCUGUCACUUAUAGAUGGAUCCGCGCUGCAUUAGCUAGUUGGUAAGGUAACGGCUUACCAAGGCAACGAUGCAUAGCCGACCUGAGAGGGUGAUCGGCCACACUGGAACUGAGACACGGUCCAGACUCCUACGGGAGGCAGCAGUAGGGAAUCUUCCGCAAUGGGCGAAAGCCUGACGGAGCAACGCCGCGUGAGUGAUGAAGGUAUUCGGAUCGUAAAACUCUGUUAUUAGGGAAGAACAUAUGUGUAAGUAACUGUGCACAUCUUGACGGUACCUAAUCAGAAAGCCACGGCUAAUUACGUG